GUUGUUGUGGCCGAGUGGUUAAGGCGUUGGAAUAAAAAGCCAUUGGGGUUUCCCCGCGCAGGUUCAAAACCUCCCAACAACG
This 82-nucleotide transfer RNA is filed under the name Pleuronectes platessa (European plaice). It matches the Rfam family "tRNA". Rfam says of the family: Transfer RNA (tRNA) molecules are approximately 80 nucleotides in length. The record is from Rfam by way of RNAcentral. Lineage: Eukaryota; Metazoa; Chordata; Actinopteri; Pleuronectiformes; Pleuronectidae.